UAUUUUGUUGGUUUCUAGGACCGCUGUAAUGAUUAAUAGGGAUAGUCGGGGGCGUCAGUAUUCAAUUGUCAGAGGUGAAAUUCUUGGAUUUAUUGAAGACUAACUACUGCGAAAGCAUUCGCCAAGGAUGUUUUCAUUAAUCAGUGAACGAAAGUUAGGGGAUCGAAGACGAUCAGAUACCGUCGUAGUCUUAACCAUAAACUAUGCCGACUAGGGAUCGGACGGUGUUUUUUAUAUGACCCGUUCGGCACCUUACGAGAAAUCAAAGUGUAUGGGUUCUGGGGGGAGUAUGGUCGCAAGGCUGAAACUUAAAGAAAUUGACGGAAGGGCACCACAAGGCGUGGAGCCUGCGGCUUAAUUUGACCCAACACGGGAAAACUCACCAGGUCCAGACAUGYUUAGGAUUGACAGAUUGAUAGCUCUUUCUUGAUURUAUGGGUGGUGGUGCAUGGCCGUUCUUAGUUGGUGGAGUGAUUUGUCUGCUUAAUUGCGAUAACGAACGAGACCUUGACCUGCUAAAUAGCCAGCCUGACWUUUGUUGGGCGCCGGCUUCUUAGAGGGACUUUUGGCUCAAGCCAAUGGAAGUACGAGGCAAUAACAGGUCUGUGAUGCCCUUAGAUGYUCUGGGCCGCACGCGCGCUACACUGACAGAGCCAGCGAGUACAUCACCUUGGCCGAAAGGUCUGGGUAAUCUUGUUAAACUCUGUCGUGCUGGGGAUAGAGCAUGCAAUA
RNAcentral lists this ribosomal RNA (732 nucleotides) under uncultured fungus. RNAcentral's name for it is "SSU rRNA". It matches the Rfam family "Eukaryotic small subunit ribosomal RNA", at positions 848 to 1611 of the family's 1831-position model. Lineage: Eukaryota; Fungi. The record is from RNAcentral.